This is a long non-coding RNA of Drosophila innubila, 457 nucleotides long. RefSeq lists it as uncharacterized. The transcript is spliced from 2 exons. The record is from RefSeq and is a predicted model, not a curated record. Lineage: Eukaryota; Metazoa; Arthropoda; Insecta; Diptera; Drosophilidae.
GUCCUAUUUGGCCAUGUAUAUUCAAUCAAAAUGUUUGCAAUAUUAUGGAUUUAUGCAAAUGCCAACAGAGAUUCGAGCAGAGCCUCAUUGAGGAAAUGUUCGCUUACAGUUGAAUGACCACAAGGCCAAGCGAAAGAAGCUGAAAUGAAACCAGAAGAAUGCUCAAAAGGUAGAGAGCAAUGAAAUCGACAAGAAGCGAAACAAAACGAAACGAGAAAUGUCGCCAAAGAAAUGAGAAAUGAAAUAAAUGAAGCAACGAAUACACGUGUGUGAAUGAAAGAGAAAACACACAAGGGGAAAUUACAUGAAACACACACAUAGUUCAUGUCAUGACAUCAAAAAAAAAAAUGGAGUCGAAAAUUUAAAAGGAUCUGAAGGACACGGCAAAAGAGAUUAACAAGCCAACUUCGUGCGGCCAAAAUAAAUCAAAAACAAAACACAAAGCACACAAAUCAAA